This 928-nucleotide long non-coding RNA is filed under the name Homo sapiens (human). RNAcentral describes it as "long intergenic non-protein coding RNA 1582". Lineage: Eukaryota; Metazoa; Chordata; Mammalia; Primates; Hominidae. The record is from RNAcentral.
AACGGUGUCUUCUCCCCACAAAUGAAAGAGAAAUAGUAAAUUCUCCUGCGGGUGGCGAAUCAGGAGGGAAGGUGGAGCCCACAAUCUUUGCAAACUCUCUGGGGAGCCAGGGGUUGGUAGCUGGGAAGACUUGGGUGGUGACCCUGGGGGAGGGGAAGGGGCCGGGGAGCGGGGAAUGGGGGCAGCCCCUGGGGAGGAAUGGGAGAGGGAGGAGGACGCCAGGGGCACAGGGACAGCCUCCGGGGCGGGGCGCGGCGCCAGCCUAGCCCGAGGAUGGAGGCUGAGGCCGCCUGUUGAGUCACAGGUUUUGGCAGAGUUCAAAGACUGGGAAGCAAAGUUCAGCCAUGUUGGGCCUUUGGGCUCAUAGAUGAGCAAGGGUACCCCAAUAUGAGGGCUCAGCAAAUUCUGGAACUUAUCAGUUCUGAAGACCUUUAGAGGAGAAGGAGACAAGUAAAAGGUAUGUAGUCCUGGAGGGCGCUGCUUAAUGAACCAGAAGUCCUGCCUCUUAAGUACCUCACCAGCUCAAAUGUGUGCAUGUCACCUUGGCGUGAAUCGGAGCAGGCGCUGGUGGAUACCGUUUGGAGGCAUGCCAGCAAGGAGCUCCUUGUGUAGCCUGCCUCUGGAGCCUCAAGUUCAACUUCCAUAGGGCCAAAAGGGGAGUCGGGCUGGGCAGAAGCUCCUGAGAACCAAAGCAAAUGGUCUGAGAGUCUGAGAGUGUAGUGGAGGUAACGUGUUCGUGUCCUCUCUGGCUGCAUCACCCCAAGUCCUUGCAGACUCAAGUAGCCUAUUUGCAAGUUUAAAUAGUUUGAGUCCUGGCCGGUAACAAGAAUACUCUACAGUGGCCCAGAGUCAGGGAUAUAGAGUGGCGACUACUUGGCAGAACUGGAGCUUGCUCAGAUGAAAAGAUAAAUUGUACUGGUUAAACGAA